RNAcentral lists this ribosomal RNA (253 nucleotides) under uncultured bacterium. Its description in RNAcentral is "partial 16S ribosomal RNA". It matches the Rfam family "Bacterial small subunit ribosomal RNA", at positions 524 to 776 of the family's 1533-position model. The record is from RNAcentral.
UACAGAGGGUGCGAGCGUUGUUCGGAAUUAUUGGGCGUAAAGCGUGCGCAGGCGGUUAUGCAAGACAGAUGUGAAAUCCCCGGGCUUAACCUGGGAACCGCAUUUGUGACUGCAUAGCUGGAGUACGGCAGAGGGGGAUGGAAUUCCGCGUGUAGCAGUGAAAUGCGUAGAUAUGCGGAGGAACACCGAUGGCGAAGGCAGUCCCCUGGGCCUGUACUGACGCUCAUGCACGAAAGCGUGGGGAGCAAACAGG